AAGAAUCGCAGAGUCGUGAGCAUGUCCGUUUUUGCAUGUUUUAUACACAUGCUCCCACAUGCACAGAUAUCCUGUUAUCAUUUUCAGAUUCAUAUUUGUUUGGUUGUUUUGAUUUUGCAGUCACCUGGUGAAUUAAUUGAAAUGGCACAUAAAUACUAUGAUGAUACAGCUCUUCCCAAAUUGGUGGCAGAUUUUGGCUCCCUUGAACUUUCACCAGUUGAUGGAAGAACUUUGACAGAUUUUAUGCAUACCAGGGGUUUGCAGAUGUGUUCUUUAGGGCGCGUGGUUGAACUUGCAGACAAACUUCCUCACGUGCAAUCACUCUGUAUACAUGAAAUGAUUGUUCGAGCCUACAAACACAUAUUACAAGCUGUUGUAGCUGCUGUUAAUAGUGCUGCUGACUUGGCUGCAUCAAUUGCUUCAUGUCUAAAUACAUUAUUAGGAACACCUUCAUCUGAAAAUGAGCAUACAGAUAUUGUAAAUGAUGAUAAACUUAAGUGGAAGUGGGUGGAAACUUUCCUUUUGAAAAGGUUCGGAUGGAAGUGGAAGCAUGAAAGCUGCGAGUAUCUAAGAAAGUUUGCAAUUCUUCGUGGGCUGUCCCACAAGGUUGGACUUGAGCUCCUUCCCAGGGAUUAUGAUAUGGACACUGCAUCCCCCUUUAAGAAGUCAGAUAUCAUAAGCAUGGUCCCUGUUUAUAAGCAUGUUGCAUGUUCAUCUGCAGAUGGACGCACAUUGUUGGAAUCUUCUAAAACUUCCUUGGAUAAAGGUAAAUUGGAGGAUGCUGUUAAUUAUGGCACUAAGGCACUGUCAAAACUUGUGUCAGUCUGUGGCCCUUAUCAUCGAAUGACAGCAGGAGCUUAUAGUCUACUGGCUGUAGUGCUCUACCACACUGGAGAUUUUAAUCAG
This 906-nucleotide unclassified non-coding RNA is filed under the name Hevea brasiliensis (rubber tree). Lineage: Eukaryota; Viridiplantae; Streptophyta; Magnoliopsida; Malpighiales; Euphorbiaceae. The record is from RNAcentral.